GCUUGCUGGGGGAUUAGUGGCGAACGGGUGAGUAACACGUGAGUAACCUGCCCUUGACUCUGGGAUAAGCCUGGGAAACUGGGUCUAAUACCGGAUAUGACCAUCUGGCGCAUGUCAUGGUGGUGGAAAGCUUUUGCGGUUUUGGAUGGACUCGCGGCCUAUCAGCUUGUUGGUGGGGUAAUGGCCUACCAAGGCGACGACGGGUAGCCGGCCUGAGAGGGUGACCGGCCACACUGGGACUGAGACACGGCCCAGACUCCUACGGGAGGCAGCAGUGGGGAAUAUUGCACAAUGGGCGAAAGCCUGAUGCAGCGACGCCGCGUGAGGGAUGACGGCCUUCGGGUUGUAAACCUCUUUCAGUAGGGAAGAAGCGAAAGUGACGGUACCUGCAGAAGAAGCGCCGGCUAACUACGUGCCAGCAGCCGCGGUAAUACGUAGGGCGCAAGCGUUAUCCGGAAUUAUUGGGCGUAAAGAGCUCGUAGGCGGUUUGUCGCGUCUGCUGUGAAAGACCGGGGCUCAACUCCGGUUCUGCAGUGGGUACGGGCAGACUAGAGUGCAGUAGGGGAGACUGGAAUUCCUGGUGUAGCGGUGAAAUGCGCAGAUAUCAGGAGGAACACCGAUGGCGAAGGCAGGUCUCUGGGCUGUAACUGACGCUGAGGAGCG
This 663-nucleotide ribosomal RNA is filed under the name Paenarthrobacter nitroguajacolicus. RNAcentral describes it as "bacterial SSU rRNA". It matches the Rfam family "Bacterial small subunit ribosomal RNA", at positions 78 to 755 of the family's 1533-position model. The record is from RNAcentral. Lineage: Bacteria; Bacillati; Actinomycetota; Actinomycetes; Micrococcales; Micrococcaceae.